AGAGUUUGAUCAUGGUUCAGAUUGAACGCUGGCGGCAUGCCUUACACAUGCAAGUCGAACGGCAGCACGGGUGCUUGCACCUGGUGGCGAGUGGCGAACGGGUGAGUAAUACAUCGGAACAUGUCCUGUAGUGGGGGAUAGCCCGGCGAAAGCCGGAUUAAUACCGCAUACGAUCUACGGAUGAAAGCGGGGGACCUUCGGGCCUCGCGCUAUAGGGUUGGCCGAUGGCUGAUUAGCUAGUUGGUGGGGUAAAGGCCUACCAAGGCGACGAUCAGUAGCUGGUCUGAGAGGACGACCAGCCACACUGGGACUGAGACACGGCCCAGACUCCUACGGGAGGCAGCAGUGGGGAAUUUUGGACAAUGGGCGAAAGCCUGAUCCAGCAAUGCCGCGUGUGUGAAGAAGGCCUUCGGGUUGUAAAGCACUUUUGUCCGGAAAGAAAUCCUUGGCUCUAAUACAGUCGGGGGAUGACGGUACCGGAAGAAUAAGCACCGGCUAACUACGUGCCAGCAGCCGCGGUAAUACGUAGGGUGCGAGCGUUAAUCGGAAUUACUGGGCGUAAAGCGUGCGCAGGCGGUAGGCUAAGACCGAUGUGAAAUCCCCGGGCUCAACCUGGGAACUGCAUUGGUGACUGGCAGGCUAGAGUAUGGCAGAGGGGGGUAGAAUUCCACGUGUAGCAGUGAAAUGCGUAGAGAUGUGGAGGAAUACCGAUGGCGAAGGCAGCCCCCUGGGCCAAUACUGACGCUCAUGCACGAAAGCGUGGGGAGCAAACAGGAUUAGAUACCCUGGUAGUCCACGCCCUAAACGAUGUCAACUAGUUGUUGGGGAUCAUUUCCUUAGUAACGUAGCUAACGCGUGAAGUUGACCGCUGGGGAGUACGGUCGCAGAUUAAACUCAAGGAUGACGGGGACCGCACAGCGGAGAUGAUGUGAAUAAUCGUGCACGCGAAAACUACCUACCUUGACUGGUCGAUCCCCUGAAGUGGGAUGCUCAAAAAACCGCCCAGGUCUGCUGCUGCUCACUCGGCUGAAUGUGGUAAUCCCACAGCCACCUGCCUAUUGUCCAGACCUUAGGANGCGNANACGAGAGGGGAACCAGC
Molecule: ribosomal RNA, 1099 nt
Filed under: Burkholderia sp. TH10
Lineage: Bacteria; Pseudomonadati; Pseudomonadota; Betaproteobacteria; Burkholderiales; Burkholderiaceae
Description: bacterial SSU rRNA
Rfam family: Bacterial small subunit ribosomal RNA
Source: RNAcentral